Molecule: small nuclear RNA, 107 nt
Filed under: Catagonus wagneri (Chacoan peccary)
Lineage: Eukaryota; Metazoa; Chordata; Mammalia; Artiodactyla; Tayassuidae
Source: RNAcentral
GUGCUCGCUUUGGCAGCUCAGACUCUAAAACUGAAAUGCUACAGAGGAGAUCAGCACGGGCCCUGUGCGAGGAUGACACACAAAUCUGUGACACGUGCCAUAUAGUU